Molecule: ribosomal RNA, 722 nt
Filed under: Shigella sonnei
Lineage: Bacteria; Pseudomonadati; Pseudomonadota; Gammaproteobacteria; Enterobacterales; Enterobacteriaceae
Description: partial 23S ribosomal RNA
Rfam family: Bacterial large subunit ribosomal RNA
Source: RNAcentral
AUAAAAGAAAGUAAAUAAGGGCGCAUGGCGGAUGCCUUGGCUCUCGGAGGCGAUGAAGGACGUGAUAAGCUGCGAUAAGCUUCGGGUAGGUGCAAAUGACCUUUGAUCCGAAGAUUUCCGAAUGGGACAACCCGGCAUUCUGAAGGAAUGUCAUCCAACUUGGUUGGAGGCUAACGCAGGGAACUGAAACAUCUUAGUACCUGCAGGAAAAGAAAAUAAAUAAUGAUUCCCCUAGUAGUGGCGAGCGAACGGGGAUUAGCCCAAACCACCCAUGUUACGGCAUGUGUGGGGUUGUAGGACCACGCUCUCGCAAGACAGUUAUUGAGAAGAAACGACUGGAAAGUCGUGCCAUAGACGGUGAUAGCCCGGUAUUCUAAGGUAACCGAAGCGUAGUGGUAUCCUGAGUAGCGCGGAGCACGAGGAAUUCUGCGUGAAUCAGCCGGGACCAUCCGGUAAGGCUAAAUACUCCCGAGAGACCGAUAGCGAACCAGUACUGUGAAGGAAAGGUGAAAAGCACUUCGAAUAGAAGAGUGAAAUAGUCCCUGAAACCAUGCGCCUACAAGCGGUCGGAGCAGCUUCAGCUGUGACGGCGUGCCUUUUGCAUAAUGAACCUACGAGUUACUUUUUCCGGCAAGGUUAAGCAUCUUGAGAUGUGGAUCCGAAGCGAAAGCGAGUCUGAACAGGGCGGAUAGUCGGAAGGAGUAGACGCGAAACCAAGUGAU